AUUUCUGUUUAAGGUUAUAAGCAAUAAGAUGUUUGCUAUUUAACGUAGGAACAUAACCCACGUGCAUGGUCGGAAAACGUUUUAGUCUAGUUAGGAUGUUCUUACCUCUGUUGUAAACGUGGUCUUCAACGCAUAUGGUUGUUCAAUCUAAUAUUGAUCAGGACCUCACCAAAGUCCCUUCCUUUUUAUGAGCUACGGUGCAGACCAAUUAUGAAGACAUAACAACUCAUGUGUCCUCAGAAGAAGAUGAGCUUUUUAAAGUAGUUGGUUCCUUCAUCUGAUUGUUAAAGAAGACAACACUAUGCGACCUUCUUCUAUUGCUUUCAGUAUCACGAUCCAUAGCUACUGUAGUACAUCAAUAUGUUUCUGCUUUUAUGUAAUACAUCUAUAAGGUUUCAUAAGAUUUAUAACAUCUUGUAUGGAUUUACAAAGUUUAUAAUCGACUUAAUUUCUUAUAAGAUAAUUUGAGAUCAACUUAGCUAGAUUUAUAACUUAUUAUAAAUGAUUUGUGUGCCCUAUAAUAGAACAUUUUCAUAAAGUAUAGAUUAGUAAAUUAUGUGUAAUACAAUAUUGUAAACCCUUUAAAUUAUUUAUACUUUGAAUCUCAAUUCAGUCAGUCUACUUCUUCUCUUAAUUUUUUAUAAUAUACACAUAUAUGGUUGUAUAUAAGAUUUAUAAUCACACAUAUAAAAUUUUAUAAAUCGGUUUUUAAAGUUUUAGAAUGUUUAUAAGACUUUAAUAAGAUUGUAUAACACUUUCACACAAUUUCCUAAGACUUUAUAAACUCAUUUAUAAGAUAUGAUAAACCAUUAUAUUUAUGUUUAUAAGGUUUUAUAAGAAAUGUUUGUAUAUAAAAUAUUAUAAGAUUGCAUAAACAUAUUUUGGUUUUAUGUAUAGACUUUAUACAUCAUUUAUAUGGUCUUGUUUAUAAACUAUAUUGCAAGUAUUCUAUAUGUAUUUAGAAACUAACUAUAUAAAAUGUUGAACUAAAGCUUUUCUAUUGUAUUAUCUUCUCCAAAAUCACAGUAAAAUAAAAAAAUAUCAGCAAUUACAUAAGAAAAAUCAAAAUAACACAUAAACUAUCUUAGAUCUUAUCUCAAAAAUCAAGCAACCAUAAAUUGUGCAGAUUUUAAUUAGAAAGAUAGAUUCAAAGGUUAUAAAACUAAAAUUAAUAAAAAGUAAGAUAUAUAUUGGGAAAAUCUCUUAAAUAGUUUCUUUUUAGCUUUUUCCCCCUAAAUAGUCCCCAAAAAAAUCAAAUUGACCAAAUAUGUUUCAUUAAAGGUAUAAAUGAUAUAUUUAUACUCAUUUAUAAUUUUAAUUUAUUAUUUAUUAGAUAAAUAUAAAUAAAUUAAAAUAUUAAAUAUUAAAAAUACAAAAUAUAAAAAUCGAAAUAUUUUUUUUUGAUUUUUUUUAGAACAAGUUUAAAAAACAUAUAUUUAUAGAGAGUUAGAGACCUUCUUAAACGUGAUGAUAUCUUCCUGACUUUGUAAAAAAAAUAUAAAUUAAUGAAUAAUUUCAUAAAUUUGUAAACAUAUUUUUUGAAUAUAACUUAUACUUAUAUUUUUGGAAUUUAUUCCUAAAUUUGCAUAUAAUUCUAAUUCAGUAAAAUAUUCAUAAAUAUAUAUUAAUGAAGGUUUUCCUAAAUACACAUUUAUAAAAAAAAUCUAAAUUUUAUGAAGAUAUUAUACAUGUUUAUCAAUAUUUUCCUAUAUUUUAGGAAGAUUUUAUACUUAUUCAUAAAGGCCUUUGUAAACUCAAAUUGAAUAGGUAUCAUACAUAUUUAGAAUUGUAUUCCAACACUUUUAAGAUCAUUUUUUCCUGAAAAUAAUUUUGGAAAAGAAAAAAUGUUUUCACAAAAAUUUGAAAAACAGUUUAGGAAAUAAGAAUUGAUAAAAAAAAAUUCAAUUUUUUUUUUUAAAAAUUAAAAAAAAAUAUUAAGUUUCUAUAUAUCUGUAGAGGAGAUGUAUAAUUGUUAUUUACAUCUAUAAUAAAACUUAUUUUGAUCAUUUUGAUUUCUGAAAAAUAGUUUGGGAACAAAAACUUGUUUUGAGGUUAUUUGAAAUCAUUUAUCAUAUAUAUUUGUUGAAUCUGAAAUUUGAAAGAAGAAAUUACGUGUGAAAUAGUUUUGUUUGCUAUGACAUUUUCUUCUUGCAGUGGAGGCCCUUCCUCGAAACAAAAAUGGAGGCAAAGACGAUUUGUUUUUUAUGUUUUAAGAUUUUCAGGCUAAAGAUAGUUUGGUUAAUUUCUAUUUAGUUUAAUUGUAGUUUUUGGAAAUAGUAAUUAACUAACAGAAAUGUUAAAAGUGGUAUUAUAAAAGAUGUACUUUUAAAAAAGUUCCAAAAGAAAGUAUAGAAAGAUAUGAUCUGAAUCUGACCCAAAAAUUGACUACUGAGUAUUAUUGGCUAUGGGCAAGAUAAAAAUACAAGUUGUGAAAAUGUUAAAUUUACUGUAAAGACUAGAACCCGAGUGUAAUUAGGUGAUGAUUGUUUAUUUGGUUUUUAGAUUGUAGUUUUUGGUUUUUAGUUUUUAGAUUUUAGUUUUUUGUUUUUGAUUUUGAUUUUGCUGUAGAUUUUAGCUUUUUGAAAAACUUGAUUGGUGAUUAUAUUUUGGUUUUUGUUUUUAGAUUCAAAUAAAUCAUUAAUGAUAAAAUAUUUUUAGAAACAAAUAAAGUAAAAAUAUCAUAAGUAUCACUAAAAUUAAACUAAUAUAAAUUUAUUUUAAAAUAAAAAUAAAAACACCAAAACAAAAUAUUAUAAAAAUUAAUGGCUGUAUUUUAAAAUAUAUUUAAGUUUAUAUUCACAGGGAAAUACACAUAAUAUUUUAACUCAAAAAACUAAAUAAAAUGUAUUUAUAUUUUUUUUAUAAUUAUUAUUUUACUCUCAUUUUUUAAAAGACCAAUACGCCAAUUUAUUUUUUGCAUUUCAAUUUAAUAUAUUUCAAGAAGUAUAUGAACCUACUAUUGUUCCAUUGUAUUUUUCUCUUUAAAAUUAAUAGCAUAUAUUAAUUAUUCAACGAAUCUAUAUAAUCAGUCAAUUAUAAAUAUUUAUUUAGUAAGUAAAUAAAUACUUCUCAUAACCUUUGAUAUACACUAUAAUGUCUUAAUUAAUAUUUUGUAUUGUAAACUUUAUAUAAAUUUAACCAAAUUUACUAGUUAUAAAUAAUUAUUAAUUUUAUUAUAAUUCAGUAAAUUACUUUUUAAAGAAGAUUAUUAUUUUAAAGAUUUGUUUUCAUGACCUUUUGUUAAAUAAAUGUGGCUCUUACAAAUAAAAAGAAAUAUUUGUUUAUCAAAGAGGCAUAUCUUCACGUAGAUCAGUAUUAGUAAUGUGUUGAAUAAAUACAGAUAUAUUGUACCUGAAUUAUUAACCAACAAAAACAUAAACAAAUUACUUUUUAAAACAGUUGCCGUAGAUUUGAAAGAGAAAUGAUGAAAACAUAAACAAAUUAACCAAUAAUUCUGGCUUUGGCCAGAAGCAUGAUGAAAACUUAUUUCACAAUAAGAGCUGAUUUUUAUAAUAAAAAAAAAUAGGGAGCCCAUAAUUUACAACGUUACAUGCCUCUAUAGCUUCUGGCACCCAAAUAAUUUUUAUAAUCUUCCAAAAAAUAAUUAAUUAAGAAAAAACUAUUCGAGUAUACUUAACCCGGAACCACCUAUGCCCACUUUUUCUGCCUAUUAAGUAAAACUAAAUCACCCUCUGUGCUUUGCUUUGCCAAAGAUUCUGAACCGUUACUGAAGAGAAUCACCAACAUAAAGAGA
This is a long non-coding RNA of Brassica rapa (field mustard), 3754 nucleotides long. RefSeq lists it as uncharacterized. The record is from RefSeq and is a predicted model, not a curated record. NCBI's taxonomy places the organism in Eukaryota, Viridiplantae, Streptophyta, Magnoliopsida, Brassicales, Brassicaceae.